CCUACGGCGAGCAGCAGUGGGGAAUAUUGGACAAUGGGCGAAAGCCUGAUCCAGCCAUGCCGCGUGUGUGAAGAAGGCCUUCGGGUUGUAAAGCACUUUCAGUGGGGAAGAAAGCCUUGGGGCUAAUACCCUCGAGGAAGGACAUCACCCACAGAAGAAGCACCGGCUAACUCCGUGCCAGCAGCCGCGGUAAUACGGAGGGUGCGAGCGUUAAUCGGAAUUACUGGGCGUAAAGCGCGCGUAGGCGGUCUGAUAAGCCGGUUGUGAAAGCCCCGGGCUCAACCUGGGAACGGCAUCCGGAACUGUCAGGCUAGAGUGCAGGAGAGGAAGGUAGAAUUCCCGGUGUAGCGGUGAAAUGCGUAGAGAUCGGGAGGAAUACCAGUGGCGAAGGCGGCCUUCUGGACUGACACUGACGCUGAGGUGCGAAAGCGUGGGUAGCAAACAGGAUUAGAUACCCGGGUAGUC
Molecule: ribosomal RNA, 465 nt
Filed under: Vreelandella stevensii
Lineage: Bacteria; Pseudomonadati; Pseudomonadota; Gammaproteobacteria; Oceanospirillales; Halomonadaceae
Description: partial 16S ribosomal RNA
Rfam family: Bacterial small subunit ribosomal RNA
Source: RNAcentral